UGGGGAAUAUUGCACAAUGGGCGCAAGCCUGAUGCAGCCAUGCCGCGUGUGUGAAGAAGGCCUUCGGGUUGUAAAGCACUUUCAGCGAGGAGGAAGGUGGUGAACUUAAUACGUUCAUCAAUUGACGUUACUCGCAGAAGAAGCACCGGCUAACUCCGUGCCAGCAGCCGCGGUAAUACGGAGGGUGCAAGCGUUAAUCGGAAUUACUGGGCGUAAAGCGCACGCAGGCGGUUUGUUAAGUCAGAUGUGAAAUCCCCGGGCUCAACCUGGGAACUGCAUUUGAAACUGGCAAGCUAGAGUCUCGUAGAGGGGGGUAGAAUUCCAGGUGUAGCGGUGAAAUGCGUAGAGAUCUGGAGGAAUACCGGUGGCGAAGGCGGCCCCCCUGGACGAAGACUGACGCUCAGGUGCGAAAGCGUGGGGCAGCAAACAGGAUUAGAUACCCUGGUAGUCCACGCUGUAAACGAUGUCGAUUUUGGAGGUUGUGCCCUUGAGGCGUGGCUUCCGGAGCUAACGCGUUAAAUCGACCGCCUGGGGAGUACGGCC
RNAcentral lists this ribosomal RNA (543 nucleotides) under uncultured bacterium. RNAcentral's name for it is "partial 16S ribosomal RNA". It matches the Rfam family "Bacterial small subunit ribosomal RNA", at positions 355 to 887 of the family's 1533-position model. The record is from RNAcentral.